AACCUAGCACACCUGCGGUGUGUACCUGCGGAAGGAUCAUUACUGAGUGUAAAAACUCCCAAACCCACUGUGAACAUACCACUGUUGCUUCGGCGGAUGCGCCCCGGGCGCGCCCUACAAAGGCGUGCCCCGGAUCAAGGCCACCGCCGGGGGACCGAAACUCUUGUUUUCCUAAGGAUUCUCUGAGUGUGAUUAUUAAAUCAAAUCAAAACUUUUAGCAACGGAUCUCAGAUCGGAAGA
Molecule: unclassified non-coding RNA, 240 nt
Filed under: soil metagenome
Description: partial contains 5.8S ribosomal RNA, internal transcribed spacer 2, and large subunit ribosomal RNA
Source: RNAcentral